Molecule: ribosomal RNA, 425 nt
Filed under: uncultured bacterium
Lineage: Bacteria
Description: bacterial SSU rRNA
Rfam family: Bacterial small subunit ribosomal RNA
Source: RNAcentral
CGGGAAUCUUCCACAAUGGACGAAAGUCUGAUGGAGCAACGCCGCGUGAGUGAAGAAGGGUUUCGGCUCGUAAAACUCUGUUGUUAAAGAAGAACAUAUCUGAGAGUAACUGUUCAGGUAUUGACGGUAUUUAACCAGAAAGCCACGGCUAACUACGUGCCAGCAGCCGCGGUAAUACGUAGGUGGCAAGCGUUGUCCGGAUUUAUUGGGCGUAAAGCGAGCGCAGGCGGUUUUUUAAGUCUGAUGUGAAAGCCUUCGGCUCAACCGAAGAAGUGCAUCGGAAACUGGGAAACUUGAGUGCAGAAGAGGACAGUGGAACUCCAUGUGUAGCGGUGAAAUGCGUAGAUAUAUGGAAGAACACCAGUGGCGAAGGCGGCUGUCUGGUCUGUAACUGACGCUGAGGCUCGAAAGUAUGGGUAGCAAAC